RNAcentral lists this long non-coding RNA (459 nucleotides) under Microcebus murinus (gray mouse lemur). Its description in RNAcentral is "lncRNA (ENSMICG00000048198.1)". Lineage: Eukaryota; Metazoa; Chordata; Mammalia; Primates; Cheirogaleidae. The record is from RNAcentral.
CGGGACUGCAAAGUGCAGGAGGCUGCUCCUGCGGUUAAUAACUCCCAGACCGCUGCAAGCCCCUGGGCGUUCACUUCCUCGCUGGAAUCUGGACAGUGUUAUCCCGGACAAUUCAGUCCCUGCCAGGAAGACCGACUAGGAGGACUUGCUGGGGGAACCAAGAGGAGUUGGAGAAUGUUCUUUCUGGGUUUGGAUCGGUAAAUAUUUUCUUGACUAUGAAGUCCCUAAAAACAGAGAAAAGCGGAACUAGAAGAGCCCAGCCCCGGGAGCACUGUCCAAUCCCAGGGCCUCAGGGAGCUCUCUCAGACUAGUGUGGACCCAGAAGUCCAGGUUCACUUGUGGGGGUUCUCAAGCACUCCCCAGGAGUGCUCCGAACACCCCAAACCUAACCCUCACCCACCUCUUCCUGCCCCACCCCGAGAUCUGAGGAUGGGCACAGUUUUUGAAGUGGUUCAGCUG